CGACCCGACCUCCUGGGCAGGGAAACCCUCAGCUGAUCCGUAUCGUCCAGGGCGAGCACGGCGUGGUGCAGAUG
Molecule: transfer RNA, 74 nt
Filed under: Streptomyces mutabilis
Lineage: Bacteria; Bacillati; Actinomycetota; Actinomycetes; Kitasatosporales; Streptomycetaceae
Source: RNAcentral